CGCCUACGGGGGGCAGCAGUGGGGGAUAUUGCACAAUGGGGGGAACCCUGAUGCAGCGACGCCGCGUGGGUGAAGGAGCGUUUCGGCGCGUAAAGCCCUAUCGGCAGGGAAGAAGAUGACGGUACCUGACCAAGAAGCCCCGGCUAACUACGUGCCAGCAGCCGCGGUAAUACGUAGGGGGCAAGCGUUAUCCGGAUUUACUGGGUGUAAAGGGCGUGCAGCCGGAGAGACAAGUCAGAUGUGAAAUCCACGGGCUCAACCCGUGAACUGCAUUUGAAACUGUUUCCCUUGAGUGUCGGAGAGGU
Molecule: ribosomal RNA, 305 nt
Filed under: uncultured bacterium
Lineage: Bacteria
Description: bacterial SSU rRNA
Rfam family: Bacterial small subunit ribosomal RNA
Source: RNAcentral